Long non-coding RNA from Cynoglossus semilaevis (tongue sole), 178 nucleotides. RefSeq lists it as uncharacterized. The record is from RefSeq and is a predicted model, not a curated record. The transcript has 3 exons. NCBI's taxonomy places the organism in Eukaryota, Metazoa, Chordata, Actinopteri, Pleuronectiformes, Cynoglossidae.
CCCCUCCCUUUCCACAACUGUCUCACCAUCGUGAAAACCAUGGAGUACCCUGGCAAAGUGGUUGCUGGCCUAUGAGAACUCCAUGUCCUUCCACUUUAGCAACUACUUUGUGGGAUAUUUCAGCGAGACCACUGCUACUCUGGCUGGAGCAGGCUUCACGGAGGAGAAGGACAACCUC